This 464-nucleotide ribosomal RNA is filed under the name uncultured bacterium. RNAcentral's name for it is "partial 16S ribosomal RNA". It matches the Rfam family "Bacterial small subunit ribosomal RNA", at positions 29 to 507 of the family's 1533-position model. The record is from RNAcentral.
ACGAACGCUGGCGGCGUGCUUAACACAUGCAAGUCGAACGGAAAGGCCCUGCUUGCAGGGUACUCGAGUGGCGAACGGGUGAGUAACACGUGGGUGAUCUGCCCUGCACUUCGGGAUAAGCCUGGGAAACUGGGUCUAAUACCGGAUAGGAGCCAUUUUUAGUGUGAUGGUUGGAAAGUUUUUUCGGUGUAGGAUGAGCUCGCGGCCUAUCAGCUUGUUGGUGGGGUAAUGGCCUACCAAGGCGGCGACGGGUAGCCGGCCUGAGAGGGUGGACGGCCACAUUGGGACUGAGAUACGGCCCAGACUCCUACGGGAGGCAGCAGUGGGGAAUAUUGCACAAUGGGCGCAAGCCUGAUGCAGCGACGCCGCGUGGGGGAUGACGGCCUUCGGGUUGUAAACUCCUUUCGCUAGGGACGAAGCUUUUUGUGACGGUACCUAGAUAAGAAGCGCCGGCUAACUACGUG